GAUGAACGCUGGCGGCGUGCCUAAUACAUGCAAGUCGAGCGAACAGACGAGGAGCUUGCUCCUUUGACGUUAGCGGCGGCCGGGUGAGUAACACGUAGGUAACCUACCUAUAAGACUGGGAUAACUUCGGGAAACCGGAGCUAAUACCGGAUAAUAUUUCGAACCGCAUGGUUCGAUAGUGAAAGAUGGCUUUGCUAUCACUUAUAGAUGGACCUGCGCCGUAUUAGCUAGUUGGUAAGGUAACGGCUUACCAAGGCAACGAUACGUAGCCGACCUGAGAGGGUGAUCGGCCACACUGGAACUGAGACACGGUCCAGACUCCUACGGGAGGCAGCAGUAGGGAAUCUUCCGCAAUGGGCGAAAGCCUGACGGAGCAACGCCGCGUGAGUGAUGAAGGUCUUCGGAUCGUAAAACUCUGUUAUUAGGGAAGAACAAACGUGUAAGUAACUGUGCACGUCUUGACGGUACCUAAUCAGAAAGCCACGGCUAACUACGUG
RNAcentral lists this ribosomal RNA (497 nucleotides) under uncultured bacterium. RNAcentral's name for it is "partial 16S ribosomal RNA". It matches the Rfam family "Bacterial small subunit ribosomal RNA", at positions 28 to 507 of the family's 1533-position model. The record is from RNAcentral.